RNAcentral lists this ribosomal RNA (492 nucleotides) under uncultured bacterium. RNAcentral's name for it is "partial 16S ribosomal RNA". It matches the Rfam family "Bacterial small subunit ribosomal RNA", at positions 29 to 507 of the family's 1533-position model. The record is from RNAcentral.
AGUGAACGCUGGCGGUAGGCCUAACACAUGCAAGUCGAACGGCAGCACAGUAAGAGCUUGCUCUUACGGGUGGCGAGUGGCGGACGGGUGAGGAAUACAUCGGAAUCUACUUUUUCGUGGGGGAUAACGUAGGGAAACUUACGCUAAUACCGCAUACGACCUACGGGUGAAAGCAGGGGAUCUUCGGACCUUGCGCGAUUGAAUGAGCCGAUGUCGGAUUAGCUAGUUGGCGGGGUAAAGGCCCACCAAGGCGACGAUCCGUAGCUGGUCUGAGAGGAUGAUCAGCCACACUGGAACUGAGACACGGUCCAGACUCCUACGGGAGGCAGCAGUGGGGAAUAUUGGACAAUGGGCGCAAGCCUGACCCAGCCAUACCGCGUGGGUGAAGAAGGCCUUCGGGUUGUAAAGCCCUUUUGUUGGGAAAGAAAAGCAGCAGGUUAAUACCCCGCUGUUCUGACGGUACCCAAAGAAUAAGCACCGGCUAACGCCGUG